This 212-nucleotide ribosomal RNA is filed under the name Nitrospira sp. Its description in RNAcentral is "partial 23S ribosomal RNA". It matches the Rfam family "Bacterial large subunit ribosomal RNA", at positions 2718 to 2925 of the family's 2925-position model. The record is from RNAcentral. Lineage: Bacteria; Pseudomonadati; Nitrospirota; Nitrospiria; Nitrospirales; Nitrospiraceae.
CGGUUGUCACGCCAGUGGCAUUGCCGAGUAGCUAAGUGCGGAAGAGAUAACCGCUGAAAGCAUCUAAGCGGGAAACUCGUCUCAAGAUGAGUCUUGCCGGGGCCUUGAGCCCCCUGAAGAGUCGUCCUAGACCAGGACGUUGAUAGGCUGGGUGUGGAAGCGCAGUAAUGCGUUAAGCUAACCAGUACUAAUUGCUCGUGCGGCUUGACCCU